UCCACCAGGCGCAGGUGUCCUGCAUGAUGCCUCGGAGCGUUAACUGUCUCUGUGCUGGAGAGGCCAACCGUGUCCCUAGGAUGGCUGCUCAGUUUCAACGGGGGCAGUAAGUUAUUUGGAAACAUCUGGAUCUGGGGCACUGAGUGGAGGGUAUGUAUCUGGGGGAAACAUCUGGAGAAAGAAACUGCUUCCAGAUGUGUUUGGGCAACAAUGCUAUUUAAAUGUAAACUCAAUAUAAGUUACUGUCCUGCUUUACAAGCAUUCAGAAAACAUCUGAUUGCAGGGGAGUCCAAGGUGCUGGCUGCUGCUUGUGGGUGGAGGUCUGGGUGCAGGACAGUGUCUGCAGAUGUGCAUCUGCAUUUGCUGCAGAUGUGGCCUUAUAAAAGCAAAGCUUUGCGGCACUGAAGAGCAGACAGGCUGGUUUUUGGUAGCUGUGCUCCACGUGUGUAACUACUAGACAUUAUAUAGGAUUCAUUCUUCUACAGAGGGAGCACAGUGUAAAGCCGCAAGAGAAGGUUUGUGACUCCGUUAGCAGGGGGAGCUAGCCUUGCUCCCUGCCUGCCUGGCACAAUGUUCUUCCCCUUUCUCUGUGACCACCUGGGACUCUGGGAAGGGACAAAGUGAUGGUGACGUCCUCCCCACCCUGGGCAUCCUGCACAGAGACCAGGCAUUGCACCCUGCUCCGGUGGGAACACCCAAGCUGCAGGUCAGCGCUCUCCUUCCCUCCCAUCCAGCAAAGCCAGCCUGCGGCACUGCCGUUGCAGUGUUAAUCUUCCCCAAGCACGCGGAAGCAGAGCCUGUCACCGGUAAACCCGGUACCCAGCAGACGUGUUCCUUCUCAUAGUGCUUUUGUGGGAGAUUGGAGAUGAAGAGAGAAAACAUGGAAAUAAUUUUUAUCUCGCUUUCAGUCUCUGAUGGGUAAAUCCUUAGGAGGCCAGUGCCACGCACGCGGUGAAGGAAGCAGGACUGCCAUCCCUGCCCACCCGAGGUUUCCCUGCUUUGUUCUAUUUAUUGAGCAACGAUUCUAACACCCUUUCCCAGACUGUGACUCAUAGCAGCACUGUCUGUGCACAAGCCAUGCGUCUCGGAGCGCUUUAUAGAGGAGCUGCAGGAGCCUUGCAGGAGCCAACUGUGUUUAUUAAAAGAUGAUCAGAUGUUUCCUCCCUUAAGGCAGUGUCUAGCUGAGGCUGAGUAAUAACUCAUUACCAACGAGGCAAAUAACUGCUUAUCAUCAGGUCAGCGCCUUCACCAGCCCUUCUGUUAGCGACGGCAGGCACCGUGCUUCUCCUGCCCCGAGCACCGGUGGUCUCGGCACCCAGCACAGGGGGGUGAGAAGGGAGCUGCCCUGCAGGACCCCGCUCCAGUCCCUGUCCCGUCUCCUGCUGGCAGCUGGAGCAGGGGCAGCCCCAGGCUCUGCUCCGCUGCUCAGCAGGGUUUGGCCCUGGGUUAAGCUCAAGGAACAGUUUUAUCCAGCCCUGGUGUAGCUUUUUUCCUCCUGCCUGUGGAAGCAGGCUGCUGUAGUGGCCUCACAGUCCACGUCUUUCUUUCCUAGUGCUGGGGAUUCAGAGCAAAUGCAAAUGCACCAGAGCUUGCUGUGGCCUGGUGGAAAUAUCAAUGGUGGGUCAGCAGAGGUGCCCUGGGAGCGCUGCCAGGGCCAUGGGUGAGGUGGGAUGUCAUGCUCCGCCAACAUCCCCAUGUGUUCCUUGCUGCCCAGCGAGGCAGCGCUCACUCACGGGCCUCUCUCGAGGGCUGGGCUGGAGGGAAGGCAGUGGAGAGCGGGGCCAACUCUCAUCCCCUUGCAGGACACGGGGCCGGGACCCUCGCGGUCUUGGUCAGAGCCUUUCCUCAGACGCCAUCCUCUGGCGCGGCCGCCGCGGUCCUUCCCUGCCAGAUGCCAUGGCAUCUCUCCACGUCCUUUGUUCCCUCCCUUGCUUGCGCGUCUCCGUUGAUUUAUGGCCGUUGCGGGGCAGCCUGACUGCAGCUCAGCUGCUUGCCCAGACCCCAGUUGGGCUGCGUGCCGUCGCCUCCAGCCUGCCAGGCAGAGAGGCUUUUGGGGAGACAUCCAACCCCCCCUGUGCAGUAGGGCCCCCCUGCAUUUAAACAUGUGCACGGCCUUUUCUUUCACCUCCUUCCAGCCUGCGUGUGAAUGAAGUGCUUUCAGGGGGAGGAGAUUGCUGGGAGCCCCGCUCUCCCCAUGCAUUGGUUGCAGCCCGUAAAAGCAUCCGAGGAAUUCGCCACAGCGGUCCCAGUGCGGGGUGAGCUCAGUGAAAGCCACCCUUUGUUCCUGCAGCCCUGGCCACCAAGUCCCACGCAGGGACGGGGCUGGAAUCUGCAGAGCUGGACAUGUGCUCCCGCCGGCACGUCGCCCUUAGCGGCCCUGCGCGGGUGCCACACUGCACUGUGGCCAUCAGGAAAGGGUUUUCCCGUGUCUUACCCCAGCCAGGGUGAGCAGCCUGGGGUUGAGCGGCAUUAGGUGCUGCCGGGGCACGAUGAAAGGAUUUCCCCCGGGUUUACCAGCAAGGUUGAGCGCCUGGCGGUACACACGGCGUGACCCCAGCUUUAGCCCCGUGCUGCUUAAGCUGAGUCAGAGGAACGGAAAUCCCUUCUUACACAGAUAUUUUCCCACUAAGUGUUUGAUUACAGGUUUGGGGUUUAAUCUCGCCCCCAUCUCACGCAGUUCCCCGGCUGGCCGUGCUGCUUGCCUGCUGCCUGCCGGGCCCGCUCCGGCAGGAAAGGACGGAGGGCUGACACCGAGCCAGGACGUGCCUCCGCUGCAGCCUGCACACAGGCGGCUGGCACCCAGCCCAGAACAUGGCUCUGGAAAAAAAUAAAUGCCUUUUUUGUUUUUGAGGAAAGCCCAGAAUGCUUCGACAAGGACAAAACCUCUUCCUAAAUCCAGUUUUAAAAGUCCUGUUUUCUCUCAGGGUUCAAAAUAACCUGGCCAAAAGUGUCUGCUCCUUGGUGGCCUGUGGGUCAGUUUGGACGGGGUAAACCUGGACCCACAUUGCAAAGGCUCCUUCUGAAACCAUGGCUUGCAGGGGGACUGAGGGACAGCACCCAUGCGGCCCCCUUCCAGCAGGGUCCCCACCCAUGGGUGCUGGUGGUCCUGCUGGCAGGGGGUCCCUGGACCUUUUCUAUGCUGUAAUUAGCAGAAGAAAACUAUUGGGUGACUCAGCAAGCAUCGGGUGCCAGGCCAAGGCUUUGUCACUGUCCUGCAGCAAGACUGACACGUGCAAUUCAGACAGAGCCUGGGCUGGCUAAAGAUACCGCGUUACUUAAAUAUUUUAUAGAAAAUCAUUAAGCAAUUAAAUCUGGCAGAUCUCACAUCAUAGAAAAAGCAGGUUGAAGUCUGUGCAGUAAACAGGGCACCGCUUCCCGGUCGUUUGGGAUGUCUUCUUGGAGUCUUAACUCCAAUCCUUGCUUCAGAAUAACUAUAAUUAUCUCUUAAUUGCCAUUAUUGUUUAACAUUUUAGCAUUUGCAAGUGCAAACUGUUACAGUUUUCCAUGCAGAUACAAUCAGUAGCCAGGGUUCACAAUGAAAGCAAUUAAAAUCCUGUGAUUAUUACAAGCCUGCAUGUCUAUACAACAGCUUCAAUCUGCAUAACUUGCCAAGAUGUAGGCUAGAAACUCAGACAAAUUUAGCAUUUAUUUAGUAACCCAGCAAAGCUACUACCUCUUGCUGCCUCCAAUGAUUUGCAUCUACGGCACUUUUUGGAAGGACGCCAGUGUUGAGGGGAGGGGAAAGAAAGCAUUUUCUAGAAUACAUCCCUGGAGAAUAUACAGCAAAGAUAAAAUUAUGCACAUGAAUUAUGCAUAUGAAUUAUGAUUUCACUCCUAUUUUUGUUGGGAUUAGCUCAUGUUUGGUGUGCAUCCCUGGCAGGUUGCUGGCGGUUCGGCAGCUAGCAGAGCACUCUUUCCAACUCCCAGCAGGUCACUGCAGUUUCGGGUCCUGCGUUCCCCGCUCCACCAGCAGCGGCCUCCCGUGGGCUUGCAGAGCUUCUUGGGGACCCAGCCCACCGGUAACGAUGGCAGCCCCUGCUCCUUCACCCCUCUCCGUCUGGGCAAGUAGUUUUUCUGUGUUAAUUUACGGCAUCUCUUCUGAAAACAUGUGACGGAUGAAAACAGAUUUAGGUGUAAAACUAAAAAAGCAAGUCUGUGCUAUUUUGUAUAGAGGGGGAGGCAUUUGCAGGCUCCGCUGCCACCAGCCACACUUUCGCUGGUGUCCCCUGGGUCUCCACCACCUCCCAGGGAAGGCGGACGUGGAAACAUCCCAGGCUCUGCCAGCUCUGGGGAGAUAAAGCCCGAAGAAAGGAGGAGCGCAAGGGGGAGACAGUAGCAGCAUUUCCCAGAUCUCCACACCAGACUCAGCUGCAAUCCCAGCACACAGUCGAUGAAAGCCAUGUUAAAUAAAGCCAGCAGUCCUUCCAGGAGAAACAGCUUGGGAAUCCUGAGCCCUGUUUCCAGGAGGGCUGGUGACCCCAGCCCAUGGGGGUUUCCACGUGGAAAGGAGGCUUAAUGGCCCUUGUUGCAGGGGAGAAAUUACCCUAAUUAGCCAAAUGUACCCAGGGCAAGGAGCAGGCUGGGCCUGAGCAAGUGGGGCUCAGGGAUCCAGGUGGGGGGUCCAGGCUGGGGUAGGGCUCAGGGAUGCUCCCCAGCCGGGUCCUUCCCUUGCUAUCCCACACGCUCUGUCCCAUCCCAACAUCUCAUCUCUGCUGCUGCCUUGGAGUAACAUCCCUGACAACCCAGCAGUCGUUUGCAGGAGAAAAUGAGAUUAGGAAAGUAUUUCAAGUAUUUGUGUCUGUUAUCCAGUGGCAAACAAGCCCAGAGCCAGCGCUGUUUGUCCUGUCAGCUGGCUGGCAGCUUGGGAAAGCAGCCGGGAAGGCAGUGGGAGACACCUGGAGAUAAUGCUAGGUAUCAGGGGCUGAAUUUGCACAUGCCUUUGGGGAAUAGUAAAUGUGUAGCAUGGUGCAGGCAGGGGAAUUCACUAAAUCUCCCUCCCAGGGAUGGAGUACCUGUGUGUGCACGUUUGCAGGCACCUCUUUGUGGCUGGGGGCUCCCUGGGACAGCCCCUGCUCCUUCACUGAUCUCGGGUCUGGGGCAAGUAGUUUUUCUGGUCCUCAGCCCAGCCACUCUCCUGCUCUCUGACCUGAGGAAGUUGCCUGAGAACCAGUGUUGCUCGGAAGGACAGCACAGCUCGUAACACUGGUAUGUAAUGCAUGGCAACGCUCCGCACGGUGCAGGCAAAACACAGGCAACUUGUGCAGCCACAUGGACUUCCCCACGUGCAUGAGCAGGAAGAGACACAGCUGACAAAUCUGAAAGGCGAGGAGGAGGCAGGGAGAACCAGCAGCAGCUCCCAGGUCAUCACUUUGUCAAAAUCAGCAGGUAUCUGCCGUGCCCUUGAGCUCUCUAUUGUGGCUCCUGUUUAGUUUGGCUUCCCCAUGGCAGCUGUCACCCUCCCUGCAUUAUCAAACCACCUGCCUGAAUUUCAAGGAAGUCAUCCAUAUAUUCAACAGGAAUAUCAAUUUCCAGGAGCUCUUGGGGGCCUUCAGAUCAGAGCAGCUAAACCAGGGAUUUCUGCUGAGCUGUGCUCACACCACCGGAGCUGGAAUUUCUUUUGGCUGGGAUGUCUGCUGGGGGGCUGCAGGGAGGUGGGCUUUUGUUUAAGCUGUAACCAAACAGGGUUGGCAAAACGUUGUCAGCGUUUGCCUGGCCUCAGCCCCGCUCCCUGGCACCCGGAGGAGCAUGGAUCCCACUGCGAGCGACAGCGAGGCCAGCUUCCCCCGUGGUCUGUCCAGGGGCAUGGCGCAGUGCUCGGCUGUCCUCCUGGGGCUGAGCCCGCAUCCCAGCAGCAUCACGGCUGGUGGGACCCAGCCCAGGAGAAACGAGCCCAAGCGAUGCAGCCUGGGGAAGGACACUUUCUGUGCAUGUUUUUAAGCCAAAUGCGGCUCCUGAAAUCAACAGAGAAGGUGAUUCCUUUGCAGCCUGGGGAACCAUCCUGUCCACAUUCUUCCCUGGGACCUUCGAAGGAGCUGAGGAAUCCAAUUCCCACGAAUUUUCUUUGAAAACACCAACCUAAAAUUGUAAUUAUGGCAUGCUGUAUUACAGGGGAGGAAAGAACCCACCAGACUGUAACUACCUUGUUUUCCUAAGACAUGAGUUUUGAUGAUGUAUUAAGACUUACAUUUUUAACAAUAUUAUGUUGGUUAAUGUGGGAAGAU
Long non-coding RNA from Haliaeetus leucocephalus (bald eagle), 6221 nucleotides. RefSeq lists it as uncharacterized. The transcript is spliced from 3 exons. The record is from RefSeq and is a predicted model, not a curated record. Lineage: Eukaryota; Metazoa; Chordata; Aves; Accipitriformes; Accipitridae.